Molecule: long non-coding RNA, 1346 nt
Organism: Triticum aestivum (bread wheat)
Lineage: Eukaryota; Viridiplantae; Streptophyta; Magnoliopsida; Poales; Poaceae
Exons: 3
Source: RefSeq, a predicted model, not a curated record
CCCACUUCACCUCCACCUUCUUCCCGCACCCCUCCCCCAGGUGCCAACGGAACCGGCAUCGGAUCCACCCGCCUUCCCCGGCGCCGCAAAAAGGUGCCUCCACAAUCGCCGGGCCACCACCUCCUGCCCCGUUCCACCCUCCCUCGCCCCCACUACCUUCCACGACCGACGCGCCGUAGUCCCCCGAUGCCUCCACCAACGGCGCGCGGCAGCAUCCCCCACAGCCGCCUCCCUUCUCUCCAGUGAUCGGCUACCCAAGGGCCGAUGCGCAACCAUCUCCCCCCUCCCUGGAUCCGUUAGCGAGAUCCACGCUCACCACGCCCAUGGGAUCCCGCGUUAGCGAACUCGCCAAUCUGCCGCGGCCGCCCUCCCCAAACCACGGCCGUGCCGCCCCUCUCCAGGGCACCACUGCUAACGGGCCAGCAACCGUCUCCAGCGCGCCUCCCGGCAAUGGAUCCGGGCCAGCAACCGUCCCCUGCACAGCCACGACCAACCCCCGCCGCAGGAUCCAUCCGUCAGUUGGCCCCCCUGCAUGACCACAACGCGAGCCACUCCCCCCGCCAGUCGCCGGAUCCGCAUCUCCGUCCUCCCUUCCUCCUGCGCCUCUGCGUCGUCGUCCUUGUCGGGCCCCGCGUCUACUAUCGGGCCACCCGAGGAUGCAGCCUGGCGGCGGCCACAUCAUCGUCGUCCUCGUCUUAGGCGCAUCACCGCCCGGAUCCGCACCACCAUCGAUGCCCCGUCGCGCACCUAUCCGCCUCCAGGCACUAAGGAGGAGACCAGGCAGCCUCCAUCUCCUAUCCGUUCGGCGACCGUCGCCGUGCAGCUCGGUGUCAUGCGUGAUGCGGUUCAGUGCUGGUGCUGGCGCACGGGGCUCCCCUGCUUCUUCUCCCCACCGACGAAUAGCCAACCACGCCAGCGUUUGAGAAAAAGAUAGGUGAUGCAGUCCACCGGCCUCCUCCCAUGACAAAUUUGUUUGCAGCUCGCUUGCGUGUCUCGCGACGCGUAGGUACGGGAGCAGAGAAGCUGAUGGCGGUGCGGCAAGGAGGGUUGUUGACGCCAUCGCUGGUGGCCUCCGCUGGCUCUGUAUCAUUGUUGGAGUUUCUAGAAAUUUCAGAUUCAGAUAUGCAGUGCAGUUUGCAGUUUUUUGUGUCUUCAGAAUUGCCGUGAAGUUCAGUUUGACUGAGUUUUUCCGAUGCAAAAAAUUGCUAAAUUUGGUGUAGUGGACGGCAGUGUGUGUGUAUGUGUGUCACUUGUCAGUGCAGUGCAGUUUUGCUUCAGUUUUGGUUAUUUCAGUGAGUGUGUGCAAUAUGCGACGUGCACACAUGCAGUGCAGUGCGCUUCAAUUA